Molecule: long non-coding RNA, 2933 nt
Filed under: Sus scrofa (pig)
Lineage: Eukaryota; Metazoa; Chordata; Mammalia; Artiodactyla; Suidae
Description: lncRNA (ENSSSCG00055003164.1)
Source: RNAcentral
AAAAGUAGUUUUCUUUUGCACACUUGCAAUGAACAAUUUGAAAAUCAAAAUAAGAAAGCAAUUCCAGUAGCGUUACAAAAUAAAAUACUCAAGAAUAAAUAAAAAGAAAAAAGUCUAUGAUAGGGGACUUCUAUCUAGAAUAUGUAAAGAAGGCUUACAACUCAACGAUAAAGACAAAUAAUCCAAUUUUUAAAAACGAACGAAGGAUCCGGAUAGAUAUUUCUCCAAAGAAGACAUGGAUACAGGUGGCCACUAAGCAUAAGAAAGGACAGUCAACAUUCUUAGUCAUCAGGAAAAUGCAAAUCAAAACUGUGAGGAGAUACCACCUCAUACCCACUAAGACGGCUGCAAUCAAAAGUCAGAUAAUAAGUGGCGGCAAGAAGAAAUCGGAAUAUGCUCAGGCACUGCUGGUGGAAUGUAACAUGGUGCAGCCUCUCUGGAAAAUGGUCUGACUGUUCCUGCAACAAUUAAACAUAAAAUCCCCGUAGCACCGCACACGUCCAUUCCUGGGUAUAGACCCAGAAGAAAUGAAAGCAUAUGUCCACACAAAAUUGUACAUAAAUGUUUACAGACGCAUUACUUACAAGAGCCAAAAAGUGGAAACAACCCAGUGUCUAUCAGCUGAUGAAUGGAUCAACAGCAUGGGACCUACCCAUACAACUGAGUACGACCCAACCAUUAAAAGGAAGUGAAGUACUGACACACGCUACCACAUGCACGAUUCUCGAAAAUGCCACGCCUGGAGUUCCCGUCGUGGCGCAGUGGUUGAUGAAUCCGAAUAGGAACCAUGAGGUUGCGGGUUCGGUCCCUGCCCUUGCUCAGUGGGUUAAAGAUCCGGCGUUGCCGUGAGCUAUGGUGUAGGUUGCAGACGCGGCUCGGAUCCCGCGUUGCUGUGGCUCUGCGUAGGCCUGGGGCUACAGCUCCGAUUGGACCCCUAGCCUGGGAAUCUCCAUACGCCUCGGGAGCGCCCCUAGAAAAGGCAAAAAGACUAAAAAAAAAAAAAAAGAAAGAAAGAAAGAAAAUACCACACCAGGAGAGAAGCAGUCCCAAAAGACCACCUGUUGUAUUUGGAUUUCAUUUACAUGAAAGGUUCAGAACAGACAAGUCUUUAGGGAUAGGAAUAAACGGCAGGUUGUGUGGGGCUGGGAGAAGGAUGGAGGGUGGAGGGUAAGAAGGGAAUGAUACAGGAUUUCUUUUUGAGGAGAUAAAAAUGACCUCAAAUUGACUGUGAUUUCCUGUAGCUGUGACUACACUAAAAACCAUAGAAUUGCAUACUUUACUUGAGUACAUUGUAUGAGGUGUGAAUUACAACCCAAGACAGCGUUUAAAAAAAAAAAAAAAAAAGAGCAUGAAGAGGUAAGUGAUUGUGGGGUGAUGAGCUGAAAGCAUGGAUGGCCUUCACCAUGGGCAUGCAGGAGAGGGAAGAAGCAGUCGAGAGCUAAUGCCACACUUCUGUUCGGAUGCCCGGGCUGGUGGAAAUGCCAGUCACUAAACGAACAAAAGUGGCUGGUACUGUUGGCACAUAUUAAUUCCUUUACUGCUCAACCACCCUCUUGGGUAGGUACUCUUAUUCUCAUUCCCAUUUUACAGACGAGAAGGCAGAGAGGAGAAGUAACGUAGCCCGAGUCGGGCAGCUCGGAAAUGGCAGAGACCUCACCUGCCCCCCGCCUGUCUCGCUUCCCUCCUCACUGCCUCACUCUGCAGCUGUGUUCUCACAGGGGAUGCCCUGGGUUGGGCAAGGGUUGGUGCAAGAGACCAGCCCAGCAGCACAAACUCGUUUCCAAGGAGAUGAUGGAUAAAUGAAGAGGGAAGGCCCAGGCCCACCUCUUGAAGCCUCAUUAGGCUGCCAGCGGUGGCAGAGAAGGAGAACCCAGAUGCUUUGCCCCAGAGGCCUCGCUGCAGCCCGCUCAGCUGCAAAAACGGAACCCCCACCCAUCAGCCGAGUCAUUCCCCUCUCGGCCCCAAGGAAGGGGUGAUUUCCUGCCUGGCCCUCUGGGCAGCUCAGGCUCCUCCCACCGGCCCUGCAUCUCCUUAUCUCUCUCCCAAAGUCCAGUCCGUGUGUGGCCUCCACGGGAAGCGAGGACUCAGAGGUCAGAGCGAACCCAGCAGCUCAGGGCAACAGAGGGCUGACCAAGCGGGGGCCCCGUCGCUCUCGCACUGGGGAUCACCGCUGGGCACGUAGGGGUCCUUUCCCCAUUCACAGGAAUAAAGCCUCUCCUGAUGCCUGUUUUGAAUCCAGCUUCACCCCGCGUACAGCCCUGUGCCAGGCACAUACGUUUUAAAAAAGUGAGUGAAGCGGAGGAAAGAGCAGUCCCAGUCAGAGGCGUCCAUGUAAUAGAUGGCAGAACAGGCUUGGAGUCAAACACCUGAAUUCCCACCUCAGCUCUACCCACUCAUAGUGGUUUGGGACAGCUCAGGGGGUCCAUCUCAGCCUCCAUGGCUCUUCUGUCAGGUAAGGGCACAUAAUGUGAUGAAAUGAGACAAUGCAUUGGCAGAGGGCGGGCGGAUAGCAGCUGCUCUGUAAUGGUAGCUGAUGGGAUAAGGACUCAGAGAGUAAGCAGAUGCCUACUCCCACCCAACUUUUACCUCCGGAGAAGUGAGCUAAGAUGACAGUCCUACAUGAGAAAAGAAUGUAUACAUAUGUAGGACUGGCUCACUUUGCUGUACAGCUGAAAACAACAGAACGAUGUAAAUCAACUAUACUUUAAAACUUUUUUUUUUAGGGCCGCAUAUGGAGGUUCCCAGGCUAGGGGUUGAAUCGGAGCUGCAGCUGCCAGCCUACGCCACAGCCACCGCAAUGCCAGAUCCAAGUCAUGUCUGUGGCCUACACCACAGCUCCCCGCAAGACCAGAUCCUUAACCGACUGAGCGAUGCCAGGGAUCGAACCCACAUCCUCAUGGAUGCUAGUCGGGCUCAUCACCACUGAGCCACAA